UUGAAUUCUCCAUAUUGAAUGAGGUCAUUUUGAAUUCUCCCUUUUGAAGGAGGUCAUUUUGAAUUCUCCCUAUUGAAGGAGGUCAUUUUGAAUUCUCCCUUUUGAAGGAGGUCAUUUUGAAUUCUCCAUAUUGAAUGAGGUCAUUUUGAAUUCUCCCUAUUGAAUGAGGUCAUUUUGAAUUCUCCCUAUUGAAGGAGGUCAUUUUGAAUUCUCCCUAUUGAAUGAGGUCAUUUUGAAUUCUCCAUAUUGAAUGAGUUCAUUUUGAAUUCUCCCUAUUGAAUGAGGUCAUUUUGAAUUCUCCCUAUUGAAUGAGGUCAUUUUGAAUUCUCCCUAUUGAAUGAGGUCAUUUUGAAUUCUCCCUAUUGAAUGAGGUCAUUUUGAAUUCUCCCUAUUGAAUGAGGUCAUUUUGAAUUCUCCCUAUUGAAUGAGGUCAUUUUGAAUUCUCCCUAUUGAAUGAGGUCAUUUUGAAUUCUCCCUAUUGAAUGAGGUCAUUUUGAAUUCUCCAUUUUGAAUGAGGUCAUUUUGAAUUCUCCCUAUUGAAUGAGGUCAUUUUGAAUUCUCCCUAUUGAAUGAGGUCAUUUUGAAUUCUCCCUAUUUGAAUGAAAUAAUCUACAUUUUUAAUUACAAACUUCUUAGCUUUGUAAAACAGCCAAUUGUAUAUGUCCUUUACAAAACUGCAACUAUAUGUCUACAAGACUUGUAAUAAACAUAACAGCAACCCAACAAGCAUUAUCCCCGGGACCACCCAUACGUAGAAUGUAUGCACACAUGACUAAGUCGCUUUGGAU
This is a long non-coding RNA of Oncorhynchus keta (chum salmon), 788 nucleotides long. RefSeq lists it as uncharacterized. Lineage: Eukaryota; Metazoa; Chordata; Actinopteri; Salmoniformes; Salmonidae. The transcript has 5 exons. The record is from RefSeq and is a predicted model, not a curated record.